CAGUAGCCACGGGAAUACAGAGGGUGCAAGCGUUAAUCGGAAUUACUGGGCGUAAAGCGCGCGUAGGUGGUUUGUUAAGUUGGAUGUGAAAUCCCCGGGCUCAACCUGGGAACUGCAUCCAAAACUGGCAAGCUAGAGUAUGGUAGAGGGUGGUGGAAUUUCCUGUGUAGCGGUGAAAUGCGUUGAGAUCGGAAAGAACACCAACGGCGAAAGCACUCUGCUGGGCCGACACUGACACUGAGAGACGAAAGCUAGGGGAGCAAAUGGGAUUAGAUACCCCUGUAGUCCCUGUCUCUUAUAC
This 301-nucleotide ribosomal RNA is filed under the name uncultured bacterium. Its description in RNAcentral is "partial 16S ribosomal RNA". It matches the Rfam family "Bacterial small subunit ribosomal RNA", at positions 509 to 807 of the family's 1533-position model. The record is from RNAcentral.